This 62-nucleotide transfer RNA is filed under the name Aenictopecheidae sp. PJ-2015. RNAcentral's name for it is "tRNA-Thr". The record is from RNAcentral. Lineage: Eukaryota; Metazoa; Arthropoda; Insecta; Hemiptera; Aenictopecheidae.
GUUUUAAUAGUUUAAAAAAAACAAUGAUUUUGUAAAUCAUAAAUAGUUAAAACUUUAAAACU